Small nuclear RNA from Lutra lutra (Eurasian river otter), 105 nucleotides. NCBI's taxonomy places the organism in Eukaryota, Metazoa, Chordata, Mammalia, Carnivora, Mustelidae. The record is from RefSeq and is a predicted model, not a curated record.
GUGCUCACUUCAGCAGUUCAUACAUUAAAAAUUGGAAUGAUACAAAGAUUAGCAUGGGCCCUGCAAAAGGAUGACACAAAAACUUGUGAAGUGUUCCAUAUAUUU